UCAGCCUGCCGAUUAAAUGGAACUACAGCAAGCAGCGCGCCGGCCUGGGAAAAGGAGCAAGAUGGCUGACUCCGAAGAGGGUGUUUUGCCGCUGACGGCUGCUUCCACUGCCCCAAUUUCAUUCGGCUUCACUCGCACGUCCGCACGGAGGCGGCUGGCCGACUCGGGAGACGGCGCGGGGCCAUCUCCGGAGGAGAAGGAUUUCUUGAAAACCGUGGAAGGGAGGGAGCUGCAGAGGUGACGCGCCGGGUCUUUCACCCCUUGGAAAUCUCUGCGGUGGGCGUAAGCGGGAGGGAGGAAUCUCAGUUGUUUGUCUUGGUGACAGUGACCUGUUAAGCCUGAAGCACAGCCUGAGUACAUUCGUGGAGGCCAGAAGGCGGGAGUUUAUAGGAGGGGGUGAGGAAAUUGGGCCUGAUAGCUGUGGGAAUUGCGAAGAGAGGAUGUAUUACUGAGAAGAAGUGUCUUUAGGACUUGAAGACACUAAGGUCUGUGCGUUCUGGGAGAAGGAAAGAAUGAGAAAAUGACAGGACCUGCUAGUGUCUCAACUGAAGUGGUGAGGCGUCUCCGAUAUGGG
This 574-nucleotide long non-coding RNA is filed under the name Pan troglodytes (chimpanzee). Its description in RNAcentral is "long non-coding RNA NONPTRT018589". The record is from RNAcentral. Lineage: Eukaryota; Metazoa; Chordata; Mammalia; Primates; Hominidae.